This 434-nucleotide ribosomal RNA is filed under the name Eysarcoris sp. MRCPEN320. Its description in RNAcentral is "partial 16S ribosomal RNA". It matches the Rfam family "Archaeal large subunit ribosomal RNA", at positions 1999 to 2636 of the family's 2987-position model. The record is from RNAcentral. Lineage: Eukaryota; Metazoa; Arthropoda; Insecta; Hemiptera; Pentatomidae.
UUUAAAUAGCCGCAGUAUUUUGACUGUGCGAAGGUAGCAUAAUCAUUUGUCUUUUAAUUGAAGGCUUGUAUGAAUGGUUGAAUGAGGGAAUAACUUUCUUUAUAUUAAAUAUUGAAUUUAAUUUUUAAGUUAAAAAGCUUAAAUUUUUUAAUGGGACGAGAAGACCCUAUAGAAUUUUAUAAUUAUUUAUUUUUUUUAUUUUGGUUAUUUUAUAUUUUAAAAUAAAUAAUUAUUUUGUUGGGGUGACAAUGGAAUUUUUUUAACUUCCAUAUUAUAUUAAUUGUAAAUUUGCAUAUUAAUGAUCCUUAAUUUAGGAUAAUUAGAUUAAUUUACCUUAGGGAUAACAGCGUUAUUUUUCUGGAGAGUUCUUAUUGAUAGAAGAGUUUGCGACCUCGAUGUUGGAUUAAAAUUAGAUUUAAGUGCAGAAGCUUAAU